AACGAACGCUGGCGGCAGGCUUAACACAUGCAAGUCGAACGCCCCGCAAGGGGAGUGGCAGACGGGUGAGUAACGCGUGGGAACAUACCCUCUCCUGCGGAAUAGCUCCGGGAAACUGGAAUUAAUACCGCAUACGCCCUACGGGGGAAAGAUUUAUCGGGGAAGGAUUGGCCCGCGUUGGAUUAGCUAGUUGGUGGGGUAAAGGCCUACCAAGGCGACGAUCCAUAGCUGGUCUGAGAGGAUGAUCAGGCACAUUGGGACUGAGACACGGCCCAAACUCCUACGGGAGGCAGCAGUGUGGAAUAUUGGACAAUGGGCGCAAGCCUGAUCCAGCCAUGCCGCGUGAGUGAUGAAGGCCUUAGGGUUGUAAAGCUCUUUCACCGAUGAAGAUAAUGACGGUAGUCGGAGAAGAAGCCCCGGCUAACUUCGUGCCAGCCGCCGCCGUAA
This 447-nucleotide ribosomal RNA is filed under the name uncultured bacterium. Its description in RNAcentral is "partial 16S ribosomal RNA". It matches the Rfam family "Bacterial small subunit ribosomal RNA", at positions 29 to 523 of the family's 1533-position model. The record is from RNAcentral.